UACGUAGGGGGCAAGCGUUGUCCGGAAUCAUUGGGCGUAAAGAGCGUGUAGGCGGCCAGAUAAGUCCGCUGUGAAAUCUCGAGGCUCAACUUCGAGCUGUCGGUGGAAACUGACUGGCUAGAGUCCGGAAGAGGAGAAUGGAAUUCCUGGUGUAGCGGUGAAAUGCGCAGAUAUCAGGAAGAACACCCGUGGCGAAGGCGGUUCUCUGGGACGGUACUGACGCUGAGACGCGAAAGCGUGGGGAGCGAACAGG
RNAcentral lists this ribosomal RNA (253 nucleotides) under uncultured bacterium. RNAcentral describes it as "partial 16S ribosomal RNA". It matches the Rfam family "Bacterial small subunit ribosomal RNA", at positions 524 to 776 of the family's 1533-position model. The record is from RNAcentral.